This 433-nucleotide ribosomal RNA is filed under the name uncultured bacterium. Its description in RNAcentral is "partial 16S ribosomal RNA". It matches the Rfam family "Bacterial small subunit ribosomal RNA", at positions 29 to 507 of the family's 1533-position model. The record is from RNAcentral.
AACGAACGCUGGCGGCAGGCCUAACACAUGCAAGUCGAGCGAGGACUUCGGUCCUAGCGGCGGACGGGGGAGUAACGCGUGGGAACGUGCCCUUUGCUUCGGAAUAGCCCUGGGAAACUGGGAGUAAUACCGGAUGAGCCCUUUGGGGGAAAGAUUUAUCGGCGAAGGAUCGGCCCGCGUUGGAUUAGGUAGUUGGUGGGGUAAUGGCCUACCAAGCCGACGAUCCAUAGCUGGUUUGAGAGGAUGAUCAGCCACAAUGGGACUGAGACACGGCCCAGACUGCUACGGGAGGCAGCAGUGGGGAAUAUUAGACACUGGAGGCAAAUCUGAUCUAGCCACGCGGGGUGUGAGAGGAAGGCCGUAGGGUUGUAAAGCUCUCUCAGCUGGGAAGAUAAUGACGGUACCAGCAGAAGAAGCCCCGGCUAACUCCGUG